RNAcentral lists this long non-coding RNA (579 nucleotides) under Gouania willdenowi (blunt-snouted clingfish). RNAcentral's name for it is "lncRNA (ENSGWIG00000016508.1)". Lineage: Eukaryota; Metazoa; Chordata; Actinopteri; Blenniiformes; Gobiesocidae. The record is from RNAcentral.
UCCUUUUCAAUACAGGCAACGGUCUUCGUCCAAGGCACGAUGAGGGUUUAUAUGGUAAUCAAAGCUCAGCUGUAGCUCCAUCAGUCAAUCAGACUGAAACUCAAACAUACUGCUCUCUACUCCACGCACAUGAGAGCACUUAUGAAUCCAUCAGAGGACGUGGAAACACUGAAGAAGGGAAUCCAGACUACGAGUACGACGAUAUCGCAAACCCAUAAAAGAGGAAGUCAGUAAAAAAGGUGAAAGUUCACUUAAGAUAUUAGCAAAAAUGUGCUGGUGCUGUCCAGGGAAUGUGUCUGUAGCUGGGUUUCCAUAACUCUCGGAAAUGCGCAAAAUGAAAAUAGCGCAUUAAGAAUUAAUAGCGGAAAACACUCAAAUAUUGCAAAAAUAUUUACAUUUUCAUGAGGAGGAAUUUCAGAUGUUUCGAUAUUUAAAUGUAUCGCAAAUGCGCCAUGGCAACACUUAGCAUUAUACCUUAGAAUAUUAGACAACAAUGGAAUGCACAGUGUUAUAAGGAGGUUUUUAGCGUUCAUCUUCCUGUAGCAAAGUCCUGUGAGAUGAGAUUUCACAGGAGUUACG